This 216-nucleotide ribosomal RNA is filed under the name Glomeromycotina sp. Its description in RNAcentral is "partial small subunit ribosomal RNA". The stretch from base 40 to 216 matches the Rfam family "Eukaryotic small subunit ribosomal RNA", at positions 686 to 864 of the family's 1831-position model. The record is from RNAcentral. Lineage: Eukaryota; Fungi; Glomeromycota.
GGGUCAGUAGGUUGGUCGUGCCACCGGUACGUACUGGUCUCACUGAUUCCUCCUUCCUGAAGAACCGUAAUGCCAUUAAUUUGGUGUUGCGGGGAAACAGGACUGUUACUUUGAGAAAAUUAGAGUGGUUAAAGCAAGCUAACGCUUGAAUACAUUAGCAUGGAAUAAUGAAAUAGGACGAUCGAUCCUAUUUUGUUGGUUUCUAGGAUUGACGUA